GAUGAACGCUGGCGGCGUGCCUAAUACAUGCAAGUCGAGCGAACGGACGAGAAGCUUGCUUCUCUGAUGUUAGCGGCGGACGGGUGAGUAACACGUGGAUAACCUACCUAUAAGACUGGGAUAACUUCGGGAAACCGUAGCUAAUACCGGAUAAUAUUUUGAACCGCAUGGUUCAAAAGUGAAAGACGGUCUUGCUGUCCCUUAUAGAUGGAUCCGCGCUGCAUUAGCUAGUUGGUAAGGUAACGGCUUACCAAGGCAACGAUGCAUAGCCGACCUGAGAGGGUGAUCGGCCACACUGGAACUGAGACACGGUCCAGACUCCUACGGGAGGCAGCAGUAGGGAAUCUUCCGCAAUGGGCGAAAGCCUGACGGAGCAACGCCGCGUGAGUGAUGAAGGUCUUCGGAUCGUAAAACUCUGUUAUUAGGGAAGAACAUAUGUGUAAGUAACUGUGCACAUCUUGACGGUACCUAAUCAGAAAGCCACGGCUAACUACGUG
RNAcentral lists this ribosomal RNA (497 nucleotides) under uncultured bacterium. RNAcentral describes it as "partial 16S ribosomal RNA". It matches the Rfam family "Bacterial small subunit ribosomal RNA", at positions 28 to 507 of the family's 1533-position model. The record is from RNAcentral.